Molecule: ribosomal RNA, 468 nt
Filed under: uncultured bacterium
Lineage: Bacteria
Description: partial 16S ribosomal RNA
Rfam family: Bacterial small subunit ribosomal RNA
Source: RNAcentral
GACGAACGCUGGCGGCGUGCUUAACACAUGCAAGUCGAACGGAAGGGCCCUGCGUUCGUGGGGUGCUCGAGUGGCGAACGCGUGAGUAACACGUGAGUAACCUGCUCUUGUCUUUGGGAGAACUUCAGGAAACUGGGGCUAAUCCCGUAUAGGAGCUCCUGCUGCAUGGUGGGGGUUGGAAAGUUUCGGCGGUUGGGGAUGGAUUCGCGGCUUAUCAGCUUGUUGGUGGGGUAGUGGAUGACCCAGGCUUUGACGGGUAGCCGGCCUGAGAGGGUGACCGGGCACCUUGGGACUGAGGUACGGACCAGUGGCGUACGGGAGGCAGCAGUGGCGAAUAUGGUCCAAUGGUCGGACGUGUGAUGCAGCAACGCCGCGUUCGGGAUGACGGCCUUCGGGUUGUAAACCGCUUUCGCCUGUGACGCAGCGUGAGUGACGGUAAUGGGUAAAUAAGCACCGGCUAACUACGUG